This 477-nucleotide ribosomal RNA is filed under the name uncultured bacterium. Its description in RNAcentral is "bacterial SSU rRNA". It matches the Rfam family "Bacterial small subunit ribosomal RNA", at positions 339 to 805 of the family's 1533-position model. The record is from RNAcentral.
CUACGGGAGGCAGCAGUGGGGAAUAUUGGACAAUGGGCGAAAGCCUGAUCCAGCCAUGCCGCGUGUGUGAAGAAGGUCUUCGGAUUGUAAAGCACUUUAAGUUGGGAGGAAGGGCAUUAACCUAAUACGUUAGUGUUUUGACGUUACCGACAGAAUAAGCACCGGCUAACUUCGUGCCAGCAGCCGCGGUAAUACGAAGGGUGCAAGCGUUAAUCGGAAUUACUGGGCGUAAAGCGCGCGUAGGUGGUUUGUUAAGUUGAAUGUGAAAGCCCCGGGCUCAACCUGGGAACUGCAUCCAAAACUGGCAAGCUAGAGUAUGGCAGAGGGUGGUGGAAUUUCCUGUGUAGCGGUGAAAUGCGUAGAUAUAGGAAGGAACACCAGUGGCGAAGGCGACCACCUGGGCUAAUACUGACACUGAGGUGCGAAAGCGUGGGGAGCAAACACGGAUUAUGAUAUCCCUGGUAGUCCCCGCCGUAA